Small nucleolar RNA from Seriola dumerili (greater amberjack), 131 nucleotides. The record is from Ensembl. Lineage: Eukaryota; Metazoa; Chordata; Actinopteri; Carangiformes; Carangidae.
ACAGACUGAAAAUGACCCCAGAUGUUUCAGUGGUCUGGGGUCAGAUAACUGUGCCUACAGUACUGUGGUGCGUUAAGCUUAUUGCGUGUCUCUCUCUGUGGCUGCGUGAUAAAACCCAUGUACCAACAUAC